Molecule: ribosomal RNA, 250 nt
Filed under: uncultured bacterium
Lineage: Bacteria
Description: partial 16S ribosomal RNA
Rfam family: Bacterial small subunit ribosomal RNA
Source: RNAcentral
ACGGAAGAUGCGAGCGUUAUCCGGAUUUAUUGGGUUUAAAGGGAGCGUAGGCGGGCUUUUAAGUCAGCGGUCAAAUGUCACGGCUCAACCGUGGCCAGCCGUUGAAACUGUAAGCCUUGAGUCUGCACAGGGCACAUGGAAUUCGUGGUGUAGCGGUGAAAUGCUUAGAUAUCACGAAGAACUCCGAUCGCGAAGGCAUUGUGCCGGGGCAGCACUGACGCUGAGGCUCGAAAGUGCGGGUAUCAAACAG